This 173-nucleotide ribosomal RNA is filed under the name uncultured bacterium. Its description in RNAcentral is "partial 16S ribosomal RNA". It matches the Rfam family "Bacterial small subunit ribosomal RNA", at positions 1320 to 1500 of the family's 1533-position model. The record is from RNAcentral.
AUGAAGCUGGAUUCGCUAGUAAUCGCGCAUCAGCCAUGGCGCGGUGAAUACGUUCCCGGGCCUUGUACACACCGCCCGUCAAGCCAUGGAAGCCGGGAGUGCCUGAAGUGCGUGAGCGUAAGCAGCGCCCUAAGGUAAAACCGGUGACUGGGGCUAAGUCGUAACAAGGUAAC